Molecule: ribosomal RNA, 254 nt
Filed under: uncultured bacterium
Lineage: Bacteria
Description: partial 16S ribosomal RNA
Rfam family: Bacterial small subunit ribosomal RNA
Source: RNAcentral
UACGGGGGGAGCAAGCGUUGUUCGGAUUUACUGGGCGUAAAGGGCGCGUAGGCGGUCAGCACAAGUCAGUUGUGAAAUCUCCGGGCUUAACUCGGAAAGGUCAACUGAUACUGUGCGACUAGAGUGCGGAAGGGGCAACUGGAAUUCUUGGUGUAGCGGUGAAAUGCGUAGAUAUCAAGAGGAACACCUGCGGCGAAGGCGGGUUGCUGGGCCGACACUGACGCUGAGGCACGAAAGCCAGGGGAGCGAACGGG